RNAcentral lists this transfer RNA (68 nucleotides) under Kallipyga massiliensis. It matches the Rfam family "tRNA". From Rfam's summary of the family: Transfer RNA (tRNA) molecules are approximately 80 nucleotides in length. Their secondary structure includes four short double-helical elements and three loops (D, anti-codon, and T loops). RNAcentral also lists the same sequence under 1 other name. The record is from RNAcentral. Lineage: Bacteria; Bacillati; Bacillota; Tissierellia.
CAGAUAGCUCAGUCGGUAGAGCAGAGGACUGAAAAUUCUCGUGUCGCUGGUUCGAUUCCGGCUCUGGG